Molecule: transfer RNA, 66 nt
Filed under: Platisus vespertinus
Lineage: Eukaryota; Metazoa; Arthropoda; Insecta; Coleoptera; Cucujidae
Description: tRNA-Ile
Source: RNAcentral
AAUGAAAUGCCUGAAAAAAGGAUUAUUUUGAUAGAAUAAAUCAUGUAUUAAAUUAUACUUUCAUUA